CAUUAUGGCCAUGCCACCCUGAAUGCAUCCAGUCUUGUCUGAUCUUGGAAGCAAAGCAGGGUCAGCACUUAGAUGGGAGACAGAAUUUAAACAUUUUUAAGCAGACAUAAACA
Molecule: ribosomal RNA, 113 nt
Organism: Aotus nancymaae (Ma's night monkey)
Lineage: Eukaryota; Metazoa; Chordata; Mammalia; Primates; Aotidae
Source: Ensembl